RNAcentral lists this ribosomal RNA (255 nucleotides) under uncultured bacterium. Its description in RNAcentral is "partial 16S ribosomal RNA". It matches the Rfam family "Bacterial small subunit ribosomal RNA", at positions 524 to 776 of the family's 1533-position model. The record is from RNAcentral.
UACGAGGGGGGGCAAGCGUUGUUCGGAAUUAUUGGGCGUAAAGGGCGCGUAGGCGGUGCGGUAAGUCAGAUGUGAAAACUCAGGGCUCAACCCGGAGACGCCAUCUGAUACUGCGGUGACUGGAGUCUGGUAGGGGAACACGGAAUUCCUGGUGUAGCGGUGAAAUGCGCAGAUAUCAGGAGGAACACCGAUGGCGAAGGCAGUGUUCUGGGCCAGUACUGACGCUGAGGAGCGAAAGCGUGGGGAGCGAACAGG